AUUACAGCUGAAUAACAUGUUAUUCGAAGGUGUUACUUCUGAAUAACAAAACCGUUCGCACUAGCAUUUUAGGUAAUACUAUUUGACAGCUGACAGCAUGUGUCAAGCGCCAAAUUUUUUCGAGCAGUUUGUUGUUUGUUUACAAAUAUGCAGCGAGAUUCUUCAAAUUAGAAUUCAAUUAUUAUUAAUCAAUUAAUCUGUUUGCGAUUUAACAACUGUUCAGCGGUAAUGAGAUUUAUUAAUUUGCUAUUUUCUUCGUAAUUGCAAGAAGCGGACCAAACUCCGAAGUAUGGGAUGAAACUGAUAGUGAUUAGUGUGCGCUAAAAAGCCAGAAGUAUUUGUGUGCUUUGUUUAAAUUUUAUUUUGCUCAUUUUUCCUUCGGAAAUGGGCUAGGAACUGUAGUUACAAUGUGUAUUAUGUGUGUGUAUAACAGGAUUCCUGGAACCCGAACUAACUCGAGAACUAUGGUGGAAAUUCCAAAAAUAUUCAGUGCUAUCGUUUGGAGCGACCGACGGCUUUUUACUGGGAUGCGUCUAGUUCUUGCACCCAAUGGGAAGUGUCAUCAGUGUUGGUUGUCCUCCUCUUUUUGGUUGUAUCGUUGAUCGGAUUAUUCUGCACCUAUUUUGUAGAUCCAGUUUUGCUCAAAAGGUCACCAAUCGGAAAACCACAAGUUGCCGGUAGUGAUAGUAUUAUAAUUGGUUUUAAGAGUAAGAAACCCACCGUUGUUUCACCCACAAGAGGAUGUACGAAGUAACUUCCAAUUUUUAUAAUAAAAUAACAAUUAAACAACGAAGGAUGAUAUCGCACGUAAUCAUCAUCAGAGAUGGUAUUAGUUGCCAAAAUCAGAUAAAACCAUUCAUCACAUUCCAUUUAUAUCACAACUUAGGUGAACGAGGCCAGGCACGGAACUACGUUGUUGUGUUUCGCUAGGAAGGGAUCGUGGAGUACUACUAACUAAAAUAGAUACUAGAGUAAAAUGAUUCAAACGAAAUAAAGAUAUUCAAACGCAUUCACUUCUUCUUCUUU
Long non-coding RNA from Armigeres subalbatus, 1026 nucleotides. RefSeq lists it as uncharacterized. The transcript has 3 exons. The record is from RefSeq and is a predicted model, not a curated record. Lineage: Eukaryota; Metazoa; Arthropoda; Insecta; Diptera; Culicidae.